GACGAACGCUGGCGGCGUGCCUAAUACAUGCAAGUCGAGCGGACCAAAGGGAGCUUGCUCCUGGAGGUUAGCGGCGAACGGGUGAGUGACACGUGGGCAACCUGCCUGUAAGACUGGGAUAACAUCGAGAAAUCGGUGCUAAUACCGGAUAAUAAAAAGAACUGCAUGGUUCUUUUUGAAAGAUGGUUUCGGCUAUCACUUACAGAUGGGCCGCGGCGCAUUAGCUAGUUGGUGAGGUAACGGCUCACCAAGGCGACGAUGCGUAGCCGACCUGAGAGGGUGAUCGGCCACACUGGGACUGAGACACGGCCCAGACUCCUACGGGAGGCAGCAGUAGGGAAUCUUCCGCAAUGGACGAAAGUCUGACGGAGCAACGCCGCGUGAGUGAUGAAGGUUUUCGGAUCGUAAAACUCUGUUGUUAGGGAAGAACAAGUGCCGUUCGAAAGGGCGGCACCUUGACGGUACCUAACGAGAAAGCCACGGCUAACUAACGUGCCAGCAGCCGACGG
Molecule: ribosomal RNA, 509 nt
Filed under: uncultured bacterium
Lineage: Bacteria
Description: bacterial SSU rRNA
Rfam family: Bacterial small subunit ribosomal RNA
Source: RNAcentral